AGGUUAAUGAUUUUAGAACAAAGGCGGCGGUUGCUGAAGCCAAGCAACGACGGCCAUUUAAAAAACAAAUUAGGUCACUGCUACCAUGAUAGAUUUGGGUUUUUAACAUGGUACCAGCGACCUAAUCUGGGCAAUAGAUGGAGUGGUUCUAACCCUUUAUAUACUACUUAAUAAUUUCUCCAAGUUUCGAUGUGGGAUUUUCUUCAUUAACACCCUUCUUACGUUCAGAUAUUAUUGGCUCUGAAGCGUAGAUAUAUGUUGAAACAACAUCCACUGGAUGAUCCAACGAUUGGAUGGUUCUAAUACCAUGAUAUAAUUAAAAAGAACUUGAUUUAUUCAUUAACAUAAGAAGAGUAUUUAUA
Molecule: small RNA, 362 nt
Filed under: Arabidopsis thaliana (thale cress)
Lineage: Eukaryota; Viridiplantae; Streptophyta; Magnoliopsida; Brassicales; Brassicaceae
Description: ATSL062240
Source: RNAcentral